Long non-coding RNA from Ictalurus furcatus (blue catfish), 1669 nucleotides. RefSeq lists it as uncharacterized. The transcript is spliced from 3 exons. NCBI's taxonomy places the organism in Eukaryota, Metazoa, Chordata, Actinopteri, Siluriformes, Ictaluridae. The record is from RefSeq and is a predicted model, not a curated record.
UUAUUCGCUUGGUUUCUUCAUAUUAAUAUUCGUCGGUGAAGCGAUGGCAAACGAAAGGCCCUAUGCGGUGCUCCAAAAUCAAAAUUUAGUGUUGCUCAUUAGCGUGCUGUCGGUUCUCCUGGUAGCUGUGCUGGUCAUGGCAGUGUGUGUGUACAAGCCGCUGAGAACACGGUGACUGAGGAGUUUUAGUUUGUUAUGAAAGCCCUGCUGGUGAGCAGAUGAUGGAGGAAGAGGACCUGGGACGUGAGGAGCGGAGCGUCGGGUGGAACAAUGGACGACUUCAGCUGGCCUUCAGUGUUUCAUUCAGGAGCCACUCUGUGGGAAAAUGUCUUUACACUAUAAUCAUGGGUAAUUCAGCAUGAUGAGGACUUUGAGGCCGUGCGUCGCUUUUUUUGGUGAAAUUAAAUCAGGGAAACCAUUUAUGAAUUCUCUCGUGAAUCCAGAUUUGAAUCAUUUCUAUGUUUUAGUCAUUUCCCUGCUCUAACGCACCUGACUGAACUAUAUUCAUCUUUUUCCUGCUCCAGAUGUGGAAUAUGUUUAAAAAUGUACAUUUUCUUUAACAUUUUGUUCAUAACUCAGCAGAAAUUGUUUCCGUGGUUAAAUGUAGCUAGCCGACGUAACGCAAAAUGUUUGUAGUGUUAGUUAGCUAAGAAGAAUCUUCAGUCUUCUCACUGUUUCACACAAGAGCUAAAAAUUAGCUCUUUUAGUGCAGGUUUAUAAUUUACAUGCUUGUAUGUCUAGUACAUUGUUUCUAUAUAUGUAAAUUGUUUUAUUGAUAUAUAGGCAUUCCACAACAUUAAAUGUAACUAUGAAUAGAUAAAUAGACAGGUAAACGUACAGCGCCGUUAAUGCGGGGGUUCGUGGUAAUAUAAGCCAUGAUAGAAUGUUAGAGUGGUAUACUGAUAUGAAAAUCUAAUCUCACGAUGAGAGUUUAGACGGUGAGUUAGCGCAGGGAAAGUCUGACGUUAUAGCAUAACAGAUGGACUGCGGUAAUCUCAUUGCGUUCAACCUGAUGUCAUUAUGAUGUUUAGUGUAUAUGGAGUUGAACACGAGCCUGCGUUUGAAUCAGGGGAAAGGCGGAGAAGCGCCAUGGCGACUGCGUCUGUUUCGGUUUGUUUGAACUGCUGUUGAAUUGUUAUUAUUUACACCUGCACUUUUAUAUUUCGGUCCUCAGUGUUAUUUUACGUAUUUAUUAUCAGAUGUUUGAGUGAGUAUUUUUUAGUUGUGAAAUAAAGCUCUUGUAAAACUGGAGAUUUACAGCCCACUGUACGUUUACAUGUUAUUGGGACGGGAUAAUAUUUCCGUGGGUCAAUAACCCGACGAUGAAACCAUCAGUGUCGAGCGAUGAAUUAGAUCACGAGGUUUCAUCGUAAAAAUGAUGCAAGGGAAACUAUCACACGCUUGUUUUCUUUUUCAGCGUUGGACUGGGUUGAUGCCGCGUUUCUUCGGAAUACCGAACACGAGGAACGGAAAAGUUGUAACGUUUUCAAUGACUAAUGAUGACGUGUGUGAAAAAUAUCAGCCUGAAAGGGGGUGUGUCAGGUGCAUGAUCAUUGAUAGGCUGAUGAAUCUGUGCGGGAAAAAAAUCAGCCCCAGCCUCACGUCUUGCUUCUUUAACAAAUAAUCAAAGAUUUUUUAAAACUUUGAAAGAUGGGCGUGGCUUAUCCAU